UGUUAAAUAUUUCAUUCAUUUGUACUGUUAAAAACUGAUGUGAUCAACGGAGUAGCUAAACAAUGACAAGCGACGUGCCACAUGUACCUCAUGCUGACGUGCAAGGACUAAUUUUUAAUAGUAUAAAUGGAUAAAAAUUUUAACA
Non-coding RNA from Gossypium raimondii (Peruvian cotton), 145 nucleotides. NCBI's taxonomy places the organism in Eukaryota, Viridiplantae, Streptophyta, Magnoliopsida, Malvales, Malvaceae. The record is from Rfam.